This is a long non-coding RNA of Coregonus clupeaformis (lake whitefish), 163 nucleotides long. RefSeq lists it as uncharacterized. The record is from RefSeq and is a predicted model, not a curated record. Lineage: Eukaryota; Metazoa; Chordata; Actinopteri; Salmoniformes; Salmonidae. The transcript is spliced from 3 exons.
GCUUCACCUCUUGAAUGUUGAGAGUUAUUUGAUAAAGGCUGGUUGAAUGAGUUCCCUAUGAGAGGCUACUUCAUCUGCAAGAAAACAGGCGGCCGCACCAGUUUCCUCAUAUGAAAUUAAAAGGGUCAGUGGUCUAAAAUGAGUCUCUCUGGGGAGAGAGAGG